UACGGGGGGGGCAAGCGUUGUUCGGAAUUACUGGGCGUAAAGGGCUCGUAGGCGGCCAGCUAAGUCAGACGUGAAAUCCCUCGGCUCAACCGGGGAACUGCGUCUGAUACUGGAUGGCUUGAGUGUGGGAGAGGGAUGCGGAAUUCCAGGUGUAGCGGUGAAAUGCGUAGAUAUCUGGAGGAACACCGGUGGCGAAGGCGGCAUCCUGGACCACGACUGACGCUGAGGAGCGAAAGCUAGGGGAGCAAACGGG
Molecule: ribosomal RNA, 253 nt
Filed under: uncultured bacterium
Lineage: Bacteria
Description: partial 16S ribosomal RNA
Rfam family: Bacterial small subunit ribosomal RNA
Source: RNAcentral